AAAGUCGUAACAAGGUUUCCGUAGGUGAACCUGCGGAAGGAUCAUUCAUAAUAAAAGUGUUUUAUGGCACUUUUCAAACAAAUCCAUAUCCACCUUGUGUGCAAUGUUUUUUUUUUUAAAUAAACACUUUUUUUUUAAAUCACCAAUUUUUCUGAAAUUUAGUAUUAUUUAUGAAUUGACUUAAUUCAAAAUAUAACUUUCAACAACGGAUCUCUUGGCUCUC
RNAcentral lists this unclassified non-coding RNA (223 nucleotides) under Mucoromycotina sp. RNAcentral describes it as "partial contains small subunit ribosomal RNA, internal transcribed spacer 1, and 5.8S ribosomal RNA". The stretch from base 1 to 47 matches the Rfam family "Eukaryotic small subunit ribosomal RNA", at positions 1785 to 1831 of the family's 1831-position model. Lineage: Eukaryota; Fungi; Mucoromycota. The record is from RNAcentral.